GGGAACCUUUAAACUUCAAACGUAAAAUUGGGACAUAUGUACCGCGUUUCCCUUGUGGGAUGUGUUAUUGACACUGAAUAGGUUUGCUGCUGCCCAUGUCAAGGAAUCCAACUGAGUCUUGUUGUGUCGCAGGCUCCUGUCCAACAGUCCAAUGAUGAUGUCUGUGCUGUUGUAUUUUGCAGCGGGGCUGGUGUUUUGCACUAAAAACCCAGCUUGGGCUCUUGAAAUCAUCUCCACCAAGGAGGACUAUUAUGCAGUCAAAGAAUCAAACGUCACGCUUUCCUGCAAAUUCACACAUGACAUCGAUGACAUCUCAAACAGAAUUAUAAUUAGGUGGUAUUUUAAGUCUCCAGAAGAAAAGCAGACAGAGAUUUUAAUGUAUCAUGGAGGCCAACUUGAUAUUGACCCAAACUACAGCAGGGUUCACUUCACAACUCCUGAACCCGGUCAUGGAGAUGCUUCCAUAGAGAUUAGUGACCUGCGUCUGUCAGAUGAGGGGAUCUACCAGUGCAGCCUAGAGUGCCAGCUGAAUGUACAUUCUGGAAUCACCGUAAUCAAAGACAGGUACAUGAACCUGAAAGUCAUCUAGAAGCUGAGUGCACCGGUUUGUGCCAUGGAAGGCGAUCCUGUGUGAGGCAAUGAUGUGACGCUCCAAUGCCAAUCCUCACACCCCC
Molecule: RNA transcript, 674 nt
Organism: Entelurus aequoreus (snake pipefish)
Lineage: Eukaryota; Metazoa; Chordata; Actinopteri; Syngnathiformes; Syngnathidae
Gene name: coxsackievirus and adenovirus receptor homolog
Exons: 2
Source: RefSeq, a predicted model, not a curated record